CCAGUUGGCCGGGCAGCCGCGCUUUACCAAUGCCGAAAGGCGGUAGGGUGAGGAAAGUCCGGGCUCCACGGAAACACGGUGCCGGAUAACGUCCGGCGGGGGCGACCCUAGGGAAAGUGCCACAGAAAGGAAACCGCCCCGCUUGCUGUACCGCUUCGACAAAGCGGCAGAGCUAGCGGGGUAAGGGUGAAAGGGUGGGGUAAGAGCCCACCGCGCUUCUGGUAACAGCGGCGGCAAGGUAAACCCCACCGGGAGCAAGACCGAAUAGGGAUGACGCGGGUCCACGCGAAAGCGCGGGCUACAGCCUGUUUCCGGGCCAGUCAUCCGGGUGGGUUGCGUGAGGCGAUAUGCAAAUAUCGUCCCAGAUGAAUGGCUGCCACGUUCCGGUGCUUGCACCGGGGCCUUACAGAACCCGGCUUACAGGCCAACUGGCGUU
Molecule: non-coding RNA, 436 nt
Organism: Rhizobium sp. CF080
Lineage: Bacteria; Pseudomonadati; Pseudomonadota; Alphaproteobacteria; Hyphomicrobiales; Rhizobiaceae
Source: Rfam